This 440-nucleotide long non-coding RNA is filed under the name Oryza brachyantha (malo sina). RNAcentral's name for it is "long non-coding RNA (OBRA_LNC000057)". Lineage: Eukaryota; Viridiplantae; Streptophyta; Magnoliopsida; Poales; Poaceae. The record is from RNAcentral.
GGCCAUGUAUCGAAAGCUUUAGCAGUAGUAAUCUGCAAAAUAGUGAUUUUAUUCACAUGCGACAUGCCUGUAGUUAGAUAAACAAGAAAACAUAUCUUCACACUAGAAAAACAUAUCUUGUAACAGAUUGUGGCCUUGUGGGUGGUAGCAAACAAAAUUCCAUACGUUCGUACGUUUCUCCCUUACCUUUUACACAACUAGCUCCACCCCCCAGCCCAUACUAAAAUAACUUUACAUCUGUCUACGCAUCACCAAACUAUAUGGCUCUAUGUUACGCCGUUUUCGCCGGAAACAAAAUGCAGCUCCCUUUUCUUUUUCUCCUUUUUUCCGCGAACACGGCGAUCAUCUCUUGCACGGCGACAACACGGCCUGGCUCGAGUGCCCCCGUGGACCCCACGCGCGGCACGCCUGCACGCGAUCCUCCACCCGAAAUCCGCCGG